RNAcentral lists this transfer RNA (71 nucleotides) under Marmota monax (woodchuck). RNAcentral's name for it is "tRNA.Val". The stretch from base 6 to 66 matches the Rfam family "tRNA", at positions 6 to 65 of the family's 71-position model. Rfam says of the family: Transfer RNA (tRNA) molecules are approximately 80 nucleotides in length. Their secondary structure includes four short double-helical elements and three loops (D, anti-codon, and T loops). Lineage: Eukaryota; Metazoa; Chordata; Mammalia; Rodentia; Sciuridae. The record is from RNAcentral.
GGGAUUGUGGCUCAGUGGCAGAGCGCUUGCCUCACAUGUAUGAGGCCCUGGGUUUGAUCCUCAGCAUCACA